AUUGAACGCUGGCGGCAUGCCUUACACAUGCAAGUCGAACGGCAGCACGGGUGCUUGCACCUGGUGGCGAGUGGCGAACGGGUGAGUAAUACAUCGGAACAUGUCCUGUAGUGGGGGAUAGCCCGGCGAAAGCCGGAUUAAUACCGCAUACGAUCUACGGAUGAAAGCGGGGGACCUUCGGGCCUCGCGCUAUAGGGUCGGCCGAUGGCUGAUUAGCUAGUUGGUGGGGUAAAGGCCUACCAAGGCGACGAUCAGUAGAUGGUCUGAGAGGACGACCAGCCACACUGGGACUGAGACACGGCCCAGACUCCUACGGGAGGCAGCAGUGGGGAAUUUUGGACAAUGGGCGAAAGCCUGAUCCAGCAAUGCCGCGUGUGUGAAGAAGGCCUUCGGGUUGUAAAGCACUUUUGUCCGGAAAGAAAUCCUUGGCUCUAAUACAGUCGGGGGAUGACGGUACCGGAAGAAUAAGCACCGGCUAACUACGUG
This 486-nucleotide ribosomal RNA is filed under the name uncultured bacterium. RNAcentral's name for it is "partial 16S ribosomal RNA". It matches the Rfam family "Bacterial small subunit ribosomal RNA", at positions 30 to 507 of the family's 1533-position model. The record is from RNAcentral.